AUACAGAGGGUGCAAGCGUUAUUCUGAAUUACUGGGCGUAAAGCGCGCGUAGGCGGAUGAUUAAGUCAGUUGUGAAAGCCCUGGGCUCAACCUAGGAACUGCAUCUGAUACUGGUCAUCUAGAGUUUAAGAGAGGGAAGUGGAAUUCCAGGUGUAGCAGUGAAAUGCGUAGAUAUCUGGAGGAACAUCAGUGGCGAAGGCGACUUCCUGGCUUAGAACUGACGCUGAGGUGCGAAAGCGUGGGUAGCGAACGGGAUUAGAAACCCUAGUAGUCC
This 274-nucleotide ribosomal RNA is filed under the name uncultured bacterium. RNAcentral's name for it is "partial 16S ribosomal RNA". It matches the Rfam family "Bacterial small subunit ribosomal RNA", at positions 523 to 796 of the family's 1533-position model. The record is from RNAcentral.